UACGUAGGGCGCAAGCGUUGUCCGGAAUUAUUGGGCGUAAAGAGCUCGUAGGCGGUUUGUCGCGUCUGCUGUGAAAACCUAAGGCUCAACCUUGGGCUUGCAGUGGGUACGGGCAGACUAGAGUGCGGUAGGGGUGACUGGAAUUCCUGGUGUAGCGGUGAAAUGCGCAGAUAUCAGGAGGAACACCGGGUGGCGAAGGCGGGUCUCUGGGCCGAUACUGACGCUGGAGGAGCG
This 234-nucleotide ribosomal RNA is filed under the name uncultured bacterium. RNAcentral describes it as "partial 16S ribosomal RNA". It matches the Rfam family "Bacterial small subunit ribosomal RNA", at positions 524 to 755 of the family's 1533-position model. The record is from RNAcentral.